Non-coding RNA from Vicia faba (fava bean), 192 nucleotides. The record is from the annotation of a GenBank genome assembly. NCBI's taxonomy places the organism in Eukaryota, Viridiplantae, Streptophyta, Magnoliopsida, Fabales, Fabaceae.
AUGGAUAUUUUUCCAAGUAGGGAAGGCCAAAAGUUUUCUCUUUCACAUGGAGCACCAAUCUGCAAUUGGCUGUGGCAUAUAUUAUCACGGUCACUAUGUUUUUAUCUGGUGAUCUAUACUCUGAAUAUGAAUUCUUCUCUUUUCUGUGUACCUUGGGAUUCUAGUUUUCUUGAUUCCUUAAAUUCCAUGUGA